GUCCCUGUAGCGCAAGGGACAGCGCGUUGAACGUCUCAUCCAAAGGUCGUGGAUUCCAAUCCCAUCAGGGAUG
Non-coding RNA from Trichonephila inaurata madagascariensis, 73 nucleotides. The record is from the annotation of a GenBank genome assembly. NCBI's taxonomy places the organism in Eukaryota, Metazoa, Arthropoda, Arachnida, Araneae, Nephilidae.